GGCCUUUUGUAUUAAAUUUUAGGUCUGACCUGCCCAGUGAUUAUUUUAACGGCCGCAGUAAUUUGACUGUGCUAAGGUAGCAUAAUCAUUAGUUUUUUAAUUAAAAACUGGAAUGAAAGGUUGAAUGAGAGAAAAACUGUCUCUAUAUAAAAUUUUGAAUUUAACCUUUAAGUGCAAAGGCUUAAAUUUUAUUAAAAGACGAGAAGACCCUUUAGAGUUUUAGAUAAAAUUUAUAUUAUACUUUUUAGUAUAUAUAUGUUGUUUAAAUUUUAUUUUUGAUUGGGGUGAUUAUUAAAUUUAUUUAACUUUAAUUUUUAUAAACAUAUAUUAAUGAUUAAUUGAUCCAUAAAAAUGAUUAUUAGUUAAAUUACCUAAGGGAUAACAGCGUAAUUUUUUUGGAGAGUUCAUAUCGAUAAAAAAGAUUGCGACCUCGAUGUUGGAUUAAAAUAUGUAGUUAGGUGUAGAAGCUAAUUAACUUGGUCUGUUCGACCAUUAAAAUUUUACA
Molecule: ribosomal RNA, 505 nt
Filed under: Bromius obscurus
Lineage: Eukaryota; Metazoa; Arthropoda; Insecta; Coleoptera; Chrysomelidae
Description: partial 16S ribosomal RNA
Rfam family: Bacterial large subunit ribosomal RNA
Source: RNAcentral